CGCGCCCAAGCUCAGUCAGGAGCCAGCCACCGCCGAGAGCAGACGUGCCUGCGGGAGCUCCAGGGUGGGAGCCCUCCUCGGCCCCAGGUAGCUGCCCUGCCUGGCCGGAGCUCCCCCGCGCCCGUUACGAGGAGGAGCCACCGGAACCUCCCCGGAGCCGGUACUGGGAGGAGCCCCCAGGCUUGCUGAGCGCCUGCUACGACGAGGAGCCCCCUCGGCCUUGCUGUUACCCGGAGGAGCCGCCCGAACAGCCCUGGCCCAACUUCCCGGAGGAGCUGCCGGACCUGCUGCCAAGCCCUCCGCCGGAGCCGAUGCAAACAGACUGGCCGGAACCGGCUACGACGGACGAGCUGUUCCGGAGCAGCAUGUUACAGAGGACCAUAGAUAGAGUUUAGAGUAAUGAGCUGAAGAUCGAAGUCUAGUUCUGCCAUUGACUCAGAUGGAGGCCUUUGGAAGCUCUGAUUUGCCAUUCAGACCCAGGGCAGAGACUGAAAUCCAUACCUGCUCUGUCUCCAAACAGGUCAUUAGAAGACACGAAGCCUCAAAAGGGAUUACAACCUAUGGUCCACAUCCUGCUAGUUGUUCUGUGCUAGAGGACCCUGAAGGCUGUUCCAUGAUUGGUGUCUAAAAAGACAAAAAACAGACAAUUGUGGGAGUGGAGGGAUGUAUAUCACACAUGCAGUGUGAUCAGGGUGACUGGCAGGGUUUAUUAAAAACUAAAGCCCUCUCACCUCAUUGACUAUUCAAAAUGGGAUUGGAUGGUGUUAUCACUCCAUUAACACAGGAUGGACUAUAGCUGUACACUGUGUGGGGAAAACAUCUCAGUGAGUUGCCCAGGGUGCACAGAAAGCAGCAGAGUGUCUUCAUUAAUGUUGAGACCACCAGACAUGAUGGGUCAGCAUUUGUGAAUCUUAAAGUUUAAAUAAGCACCUGUUCUCUGCAUCUAACUUACAUGGGGAGAAACUCUUAUAUCUGCCUACUGCAGAGUUUCAUUCACCUCCCUCAGAAGCAUCCGGUGCUGACCUCAUUCGGAGCCAGGAUAUUGGACUAGCUAGACCUGGAGUCUGAUCCUAUGUGGUACCCCAAGUCAACAGGACUACAAGAGUAAGCUCUACUCAACUUAUAAAGCUACAGCUCUGGAGCAAAUUCUGAGGCUUC
This is a long non-coding RNA of Mauremys mutica (yellowpond turtle), 1158 nucleotides long. RefSeq lists it as uncharacterized. The transcript has 7 exons. NCBI's taxonomy places the organism in Eukaryota, Metazoa, Chordata, Testudines, Geoemydidae. The record is from RefSeq and is a predicted model, not a curated record.